Molecule: long non-coding RNA, 4017 nt
Organism: Pongo pygmaeus (Bornean orangutan)
Lineage: Eukaryota; Metazoa; Chordata; Mammalia; Primates; Hominidae
Exons: 3
Source: RefSeq, a predicted model, not a curated record
GGCGGGGCUGGGAAAAUUGCUGCCUGCGUCGGCUGGGCCUGUGGGCUUGUAGGCCUGCGUCCGGCAGCGCGCGGCCGUGCUUUCUAAGCGGGCUCGGUAGCACCAGACUUCACCGGCCCGGCGCGGGGCUCAAAAGUGCUCGCACUCCCUGCGGCCAGCGCGCUGACCGGAGCCUCUGGGUCUCGCACGCAGCAGCUGCAGACGCUGCCCGGCGCGGUGGGGCUGAGAGCAAAAUGGCCCGCCAGUGUGGUUGCCCAGACAGUGCUGGGCCCUCCUAGGUGGAUGGCCCUGCCCCAGCCUAACUUCUGUACCCCAGCAUAACCUCCAAAGCAACAGCCGUGCCCUGGGAGCCUGUUCAACACUGAACAUAUCCCACAAUAACACAGUUCCAGCGUCGCUGGUAAAAAGCAGAAAUGGCUUUGGUGUAGCAUUGCUGAAACAAGUAUGGAGCUUGCAGACAGAGGACCUAUAUGCAGAUGCUGGCUUUACCAUUUAUGAAUGCUUUUGGUUCAGUCUUUCUGAGCUUCACUUUCUUUUGUCUGAAACAAGAUUAAGUAAGAUACACCGGACUUGAAACUUUAGACAUCAGCAACCUAGAAACACCAAUGGCACAGACAAAAAAAGCCCUAUCAAAACACUGCUCCAGCUGAAGGGCCAGAAAAGGAGUAUAGCAGACAGAAAACUUUUUGACAAUAAAUGCAUACUCUAGGCAAAACUACAGACAGAAUUGUGACCCCAUCCUACUCAUGUCAGCAAAGUCCUAGUGGAGAGCCUAAACCCCCACCCUCACCAGACUAUUAGGUAGUUUAAAGAAUUGCCUUACACUGAAACAUCUUCAGGUUAGCAUUAUGGAAAAAUAUUUAAGUAAUUAUUUAGAGGUGCCCUAAGCCCUUCUUCCCAGGGUGGUGUCAGAGAAGGUCAAAUAAAGAACCAGUACUUUCAUCAUCACAAGCCAGUAACAAGGAGUCUCCCAUCUUGGGUGUCAGUGGAGGCCAAAUGAGGAACUUGGAUGUCUCCUCCAACUUGGCAACAAUGAGGUGGUGCCUGCUCCCCAUACCCACUUCCCCUGCCACUACCAUGCUAGAAAAUGCCAGCUAAAAGAGAUUUUAAUAAGAUUCAAAACCUCAUAAAUAUCCCGUAUGUCCAGGUUUUAUGAAAAUCACUCAUUAUAUCAAGAACUGGGAAGAUCUCAAACUGUAUGAAAAAAGACCAUUAAUAAAUGACAAAACCAAGAAAACAAAAAUGUUAGCAUUAUCUGACAAAGAUGUUAAAGCAGACAUCAUAAAAAUGCUUCAGUGAGCAACUACAAAAACACUUGAAACAAAUGAAAAAAAUAGAAAGUCUCAUUAGAUAACAGAAGACAUAAAGAAAAACCAAAUGGAAAUUUUAGAACUGAAAAAUACAAUAAUGAAAAUAAAAAACUAAAUGAAUUGAGUAACAGAACGAAGGAGACAAAGGAAUGAAUCAAGGAACUUGAAGACAGAACAAUAGAAAUUAUCCACUCUAAAAAAGAGAGGAAAUAGACUAAAAAGAACAGAGUCUCAUGGAACUAAGUGACUGCAACAAAAGAUGUAACAUUCAUGAAAUCAGAGUCCUAGAGGGAGAAAAGAAAAAGGGUGAGGCUAAAAGUACUCAAAUAAAUAAUGUCUGAAAACUUCUGAAAUUUGGUGGAAGAGAUAAACCUACAGAUUCAAGAAGCUGAGUGAAUUUUCAACGAAGGAGCCAAAACAGUUAAAUGGGAAGAAGGUAGUUAUUUUUUAACAAAUAGUGCUGAAACAACAGGGUAUCCACAUGUAAAAGAACAAAGUUGGACAUCUGCUUCACACUGUAUACAAAAAUUAACUUAAAAUGGAUCAUAGAACAAAAUAUAAGUGCUAAAACUAUAAAAUUAUCAGAAGUAAACAUGGAAUUAAAUUUUUGUGACCUGGAGUUAGGAAAAGACCUCCUACAUAUGACACCAAAAACACAAGCAAUAAAAGAAAAAGUAAACAAGUUGGAUUUCAUCAAAAUUUCAGACUUUCAUGCUUCAAAUGGCACCACCAAGAAAGAAAAUGAAAAGACAGCACACAGAAUGGGAGAAAAUAUUUGCAAAUUACAUAUCCAAUAAGAGAUUUAUAUUUAGUAUAGAUAAAAAACUCUUACACCUCAAUAAUAAAAAACAACCUAAUUAAAAAAUGGAGAAAGGAUCUGUAUAGACAUUUCUUCAAAUAAGAUAUACAAAUGACAAAUACACUUAUGAAAAGAAGCUCAAGAUCAUUAGCUAUUAGGGAAAUGCAAAUCAAAACAAGGAGAUACCACUUCACAAUCAUUAGAAUAUCUAUAAUAUGAAGUACAGAUAACAAGAAUUGGGGAGGAUAUGGAGAAAUUGGAACCCCCAUACAUUGCUGGUGGGAAUGUAAAAUGCUACAGCUGCUCUGGAAAACUGUGGCAGUUCCUCAAACAAUUAAAUAUAGAGUUACCCUAUGACUCAGGAAUUCUACUCCAAAUAAAAAUGAAAACAUAUGUCUACACAAAAAGUGGUACAAAAAGCAGGAUUAUUUGUAAUUAUUUGUAAUGUCCAAAAAGUGAAACAACUCAAAUGUCCAUCAAUUGAUUAAUGAAUAAACGAAUAUAGUAUAUGUAUACAAUGGACUAUUAAUUGAUACUAAAAAGGAAUAAAGUGCUAAUACAUGCUACAGUAUGAAUCAACCUUGAAAACAUUAUGCUUUCUUUAAGUGAAAGAAGCCAGUUACAAAAGCCACAUGUUACAUUAUGUGAAAGUCUAAAAUAAGCAGAUAUAUAGAGACGAAGCCUAUUAGUGGUUUCCAAGGGUCAAGGAGGGAAACAGUGAUUACUAAUAGGUAUAGGGUUUCUUUUCUAGGUGAUUAAAGUGUUCUAAAGUUAGAUAGUGGGGGUUACACAAUGUUGUGAAUCUAAAAACCACUGAAUUAUAAACUUUAAAAGGGUGAGUUUCAUGGUUAAAAAUUAUCUCAAUAAAGCUGUUACUAAAAAAAAAGACAAAUGAAACCUAAUAGGAUAAACUCAGAGUUUCAUGCCAAGAUAUAUCAUUCAACUUUUGAAAACUAAGAACAUAGAAAAAAUUGUUAAAAGCAGAGAGCAAGAAAUUACACCUUACUUGUAAGGGAAAAGCAAUUUGAAUGACAGUGGAUCUUACAUCAGAAACCAUGGACUCCAUAAGGAAGUGACACAACAUCUUUCAAGUGCCAAGAGGAAAAAACUGUCAACCCAAAUCCAAUAUCCAGCAAAAAUACCCUUUAGGAAUGGAGGGGAAAUAAUGACAUUCUCAGAUGAAGGGAAACUAAGAGAUUUUGUCACUAGCAGUUUUUUUUCUAAAAGCGUGGCUACAGAAAGUUCUUGAAACAGAAAGGAAAUUAUGAAAGAAAGAAUAUUGGAACAUUAAGAACCAAGAAAACACUAAGUAAAAAUAUGAGUAAAUAUAAUAGGCUUCCCUUCUCCUCUUGAGUUUUCUAAAUUAUAUUUGAAGGUUAAAGCAGAAAUUUUAACAUCUGAUUUGGUAGACAGAAUACUUGAGACAAUCAUAUUAUAAAAGGAAAAAGGUAAGGAGCUAUAAAGGGAAAUAAGGUUUCUACACUUCACUUGAACUGGCAAAAUGCCACCACAAGUACACUGGGAUAGGUUUGAUAUCGAUAUUGACUUAGUCCGCUUAUGCUGUUAUAUCACAAUACCUGAGACUGAGUAAUUUAGAAUAAACUGAAAUUGAUUUUCUCACAGUUCUGGAAAUCGGGAAGUCCUAGAUCAAGGCAUUGGCAUCUGGUGUCUGCUGAGGACCAUCUUGUUGCAUGAAGCCUCUUUCAUAAGGGCCUUAAUUAAUGAGGAAGAACUUUCAUGACUUAAUUACCUCUUAAAGACUUUAUUACCUAAUACCAUCACAUUGGCAAUGUCUGAAUUUUGGAAGGGACACAUUUAACCAUAGCAAAUAUAUGAAAAAAUUUAAGUUAUAAAAAUAUGUAUAAUUUUAAUACCUAAAGCAACUAGUGAAAAAGAAAUAGAUACACC